Molecule: ribosomal RNA, 492 nt
Filed under: uncultured bacterium
Lineage: Bacteria
Description: partial 16S ribosomal RNA
Rfam family: Bacterial small subunit ribosomal RNA
Source: RNAcentral
AGUGAACGCUGGCGGUAGGCCUAACACAUGCAAGUCGAACGGCAGCACAGUAAGAGCUUGCUCUUACGGGUGGCGAGUGGCGGACGGGUGAGGAGUACAUCGGAAUCUACUUUUUCGUGGGGGAUAGCGUAGGGAAACUUACGCUAAUACCGCAUACGACCUACGGGUGAAAGCAGGGGAUCUUCGGACCUUGCGCGAUUGAAUGAGCCGAUGUCGGAUUAGCUAGUUGGCGGGGUAAAGGCCCACCAAGGCGACGAUCCGUAGCUGGUCUGAGAGGAUGAUCAGCCACACUGGAACUGAGACACGGUCCAGACUCCUACGGGAGGCAGCAGUGGGGAAUAUUGGACAAUGGGCGCAAGCCUGAUCCAGCCAUACCGCGUGGGUGAAGAAGGCCUUCGGGUUGUAAAGCCCUUUUGUUGGGAAAGAAAAGCAGCAGGUUAAUACCCCGCUGUUCUGACGGUACCCAAAGAAUAAGCACCGGCUAACUUCGUG